GGAGGGCUGUCCGAGUGGCCUAAGGAGACGGUCUUGAAAACCGUUGGGGCGUUCUUCGUCCCCCAGGGUUCGAAUCCCUGGCCCUCCGCCA
This 91-nucleotide transfer RNA is filed under the name Actinomycetes bacterium. RNAcentral describes it as "Actinobacteria bacterium tRNA-Ser". It matches the Rfam family "tRNA". From Rfam's summary of the family: Transfer RNA (tRNA) molecules are approximately 80 nucleotides in length. Their secondary structure includes four short double-helical elements and three loops (D, anti-codon, and T loops). The record is from RNAcentral. Lineage: Bacteria; Bacillati; Actinomycetota; Actinomycetes.